AAGACUGGGAUAACUCCGGGAAACCGGGGCUAAUACCGGAUGGUUGUUUGAACCGCAUGGUUCAGACAUAAAAGGUGGCUUCGGCUACCACUUACAGAUGGACCCGCGGCGCAUUAGCUAGUUGGUGGGGUAACGGCUCACCAAGGCGACGAUGCGUAGCCGACCUGAGAGGGUGAUCGGCCACACUGGGACUGAGACACGGCCCAGACUCCUACGGGAGGCAGCAGUAGGGAAUCUUCCGCAAUGGACGAAAGU
This 255-nucleotide ribosomal RNA is filed under the name Bacillus amyloliquefaciens. RNAcentral describes it as "partial 16S ribosomal RNA". It matches the Rfam family "Bacterial small subunit ribosomal RNA", at positions 134 to 382 of the family's 1533-position model. RNAcentral also lists the same sequence under 1 other name. Lineage: Bacteria; Bacillati; Bacillota; Bacilli; Caryophanales; Bacillaceae. The record is from RNAcentral.